CAAAAAUAGCCAGCUCAUUGGAAUGGAGUGACAGGAGGAAGGAGCAAGAACCCAACUUCAGACAAACGGACGUUUUCAAAAGAGGAAGGGCAGCAACCAGGCCUCCCGCAGAACUCAGCUCCAGCCUAGCAAUUCAGCGCGAGUAACUGAAGCCGCAACCCCGGUCGAUAUGAUAGCGGGUGCGUUACCAGUUUGGCCACAAACCGUUAUUCAUCAUCUCUGCGUCCGGCCGGCUCACCCCGGCCGCCUGGAGCGCCGCUGCCUCUCCCGCAGUCAGCUGUGUUUUAAUCAGCUACGUUACGGGAAAACGUCCUUAGAGGAAAGCGGUGCCAUCGCUCGGCAUGCCAGCGGCUCAUGGAUCGGGAUAGGAACGUUCCCAAGUGCAGUAAUGUGCUGUGACACUGGGCCAGUUCAUUUAGAGAAAAAUUAAAUAUCAUCUGGAGGCGACAGGGAGAUGGAACCCAUGAGGCUGAGGACCAGGUGCAAGUGAGGAGGGAGGGCGUCUUUCUGAGCGGUGAGGCGUGAGGCAUGGAGGGCUUCCUGGAGCAGGUGGUAUUGAAGGUUGGCCUGGAAUGAGGAGGAGCAUUCCAGCACAUGG
Non-coding RNA from Leptonychotes weddellii (Weddell seal), 598 nucleotides. The record is from RefSeq and is a predicted model, not a curated record. Lineage: Eukaryota; Metazoa; Chordata; Mammalia; Carnivora; Phocidae.